Molecule: ribosomal RNA, 253 nt
Filed under: uncultured bacterium
Lineage: Bacteria
Description: partial 16S ribosomal RNA
Rfam family: Bacterial small subunit ribosomal RNA
Source: RNAcentral
UACGUAGGGUGCGAGCGUUAAUCGGAAUUACUGGGCGUAAAGCGUGCGCAGGCGGUUCGUUGUGUCGGUGGUGAAAGCCCCGGGCUUAACCUGGGAAUGGCCAUGGAAACUGGCGAACUGGAGUGUGGCAGAGGGGGGUGGAAUUCCGCGUGUAGCAGUGAAAUGCGUAGAUAUUAGGAAGAACACCAGUGGCGAAGGCGGCUCACUGGUCCGGUACUGACGCUGAGGUGCGAAAGCGUGGGGAGCAAACAGG